GGACGGGAGGCUGCUGAGGCGGCUGGAGAGGCCUCAUUAUUUUGGUCGAAGGAGAAACUCCAUCUAUUCCUUGUAUUGAAGAAAGCCCACCGUUUACUGAGCACCGACUGUGUGCGGGCACGUUCUGGAUGCUGGAGACACAGCAGCCAAUAGAGACGUUGUCCCUCUCUGCGGAGUCGAGGAGACAGGCGGUUAGAGGCCUAUGCUAACAUGAGAGCUGGUGUAGACAGGACGUGCCCUGACGAAAUUAACAGCCACCUGGAGAGUGGAGGAUCCGGUAGUGGGCCCCAUGCUAGAUGGGCUGAUCUGGGAAGCCUCUGUGAAGAGGUGAUGCUCGACUGUCACUUUAACAAGAUCCCUGUGGCUGCUGUGAGGACAGUAGACAGCCAGAGGAUCAGUGAGCAGCGGCAGCUCUAAGGGACAUUGGUGGCUUGGGCGGUGUGAAGCCUGGAGGGUGAGGAGGGGUUGGAUGUGGGCCUGAUGGAGGAGUCAAGGGUGACAUCGGGACCUGAGCCACAGAGUGGAUGGAAGGCAGUGGCCUUUACUGACAUGGAGAAUGCUUGGGGCAAAGGCGGGUGGAUCGAGAGUCCUGUUCUGGCCUCAUUGAGUUGGGUAUGUCUGUGUGACAUCCGCCUGGAAAAAUCCAACGGUGUUGUUGGGGUGGAGGUCAGGCGGCUGUCCAGAUGUGGGUGUCAGCCAUCAGUAGACUAUGGCAUUUGUAGCCUUGGGCCUGCGGGAGAUGCCCAAGGGGCGAGGCUCGAUGGAGAAGAGGCCGGGCCUGGGCAGCUCGACCUUCAGCGGCAGAGACAGGAAGGGGACCCAGCCAGGGAGGCCUGGGAAGGCCGCAUGUGGUGCAGGAGCUGAGCCAGGAAAGCGCCUCAGCGGGAAGGCAGGGAGAAGCCCAGGAGACGUGGCCUGGGAAGGACUGUGGGAUGUGCCAUGCCAAGGUCCCUGGUGACCAGGGUAAUGGCGGGCCUGAGGGAGAGGAACGUGCCCAGACGGACAUGGCUUUCCCACCAUGGGGAGCUCAGCCUUGGACCUAAGUGUGGAGGAUGAGGGAUGCUCCGGACAGGGCCCUGUGGUCCCCUGAGGAGACAGAAUGGGGCAAAACCAGGAACCGGGAUCCUCGGAUGGGGAAACUGAGGCCCAGGUGGAGGCAGAGCAGGGCCGGGGCAGACCUCCAUCACCAGUCCACGCUUUCCUGUCCAGUCUCAGGCUCAGGACAGGCCGCUCUGGAGACACUGGGUGCACUUCUCCUCCGACCCUCAGGUGUCUCCAGACAGUUCUUUAUGGAGAGAAGCCCCGGGUGUCGCACGUCCCUGGCCAGGGGACGAAGGCAGGCAGUGUGCCGAUGCUCACGUCUGUGGGGCUCUCUGUCCCAGGAAGCAGGUUGUUGUCCUGCCGGCUCGGCCUGCCUUCUCUCUCCUGUGCAGAGGACUGUGGCAGGAGGAGGGCCUGUGGUCCCUUGGCAAGGUGACGAUGGGCCCUGCUCCCCAAGCUGCCUCUCUGGCCCAGUACCCUGCCUGCUGCAGAGCAAGGAGCCCUGGGAUCCCCAGCUGUGGGGAAAUGAGGGGACCCCAAUCUUCCGUCCAGGUUCUCUUGGUGCCUAAGACAGGACAAGACCCCCUGCGGGCCCCAGGCCUGCCUCCCCUGAAUGGGCCUCACACACUAGGAGUGGCCUCACCAGUCCCUGGGGACAGCCCAGACACCUGGGGUUCCCUGCCUGCCUCUGCGCAGCCCCACAUGGCACCUGAUACUCCCCAGGACUCUCCAGUCCUCUCCCUUCCCUCCCACACGUCUCAGCGCCGCCGCCACCUCUUCCUCCAGCCUCAGACUCUCUCUUCUGGGGAUGCCCCAGAUCUCUGGCUCGUUCCUUCCUUCAUUUUCCUCCCUACCAGCCCAGAUGUUCUGUUGAAGAGCAGAGGAAGGGAGGGUGUUGGAAACACCCCCUACUCCAGGAAGCCCUCCCUGAGGGGACCAGAGCUUCCCUGUCUUCUGUUAGGGUCCCACACACUGAAUUUCUGAGUAGAUUUAUCCCAAAGGCAGCACACGCCUGUGGGGACAAACCGGAAGGCUCAGACAUGAGGUGAGUGUGUGUGCAUGCAUGUCGGAGCAGCUGUCCUUCCUUCGACAACACAUGGCGCCGCUUGUCAGCCCUGAGCAUCCUCUGUCAGGGGCCUUUCCUCCGGGCUGUGAGCUCAGUGCCCACCCCCUUCGGGUGCAUGGACCCCAACCGCGGUGGAUGGGCCUCUGCGCAGCUCCAGCCAGCCCCUCCCAGGAGCCGCUGUGUCCUCGGCCCUUCCUGUCUGGGUCAUGGGUAUUUUUAGCACCGAAUCCGGAACGCACUGGGCAGCAGCUGCUCACAGGCAGAGCACAGGGACAACACACUGUCCAGGUGGCUGCUUCAGGCCUGGGCAGCAAAGGGAGCACCCUGGGCCUGGCCCUCUGAGCCUGACCCUGCACCUGUCAUUUGCUGACAUCAACUCUGCCAUCCUUCCCACCAGCCCAGGCCUCUCACCCAACCCCCCACCCAGUGCCCCAUGCUGGAGCAGGCCUUGCAGAGCUCCGCCUGAGCGCUCCUCUCCAGGGACUCUGGCCAUCCCUUGGCACUUCCGUGUCACCCCUGCGCAGCUGCUACCUGCCGUCCGCUGGAUUCUGUGUUUUCUGGAAUCCCACGUCUGCCCAUGGAGCUACCAGAGACAGUCUUGGGCAGGGGCUGGAAGAGAGGAUCCCUCACCCCACACCCUUCCCAGGUCACCGUGAACUAGUGGCACCAACAGGGAAAUGAGGAAGGCACCCAUCUCCUGUAGGGGAUUCAAUGGUGACCCACCCCCAAAAAAUGUCCCCCCCGGAAGCUGUGAAUGUGACCUUCUUUGGAAAAAGAGUCCUUACAGAUGUAAUUGCCAAGGAUCUCAAGGUGAGAGCAUCCUGAAGCACCCAGGUGGCCCUAAAUCCAGUGACAAGUGUCCUUAUAAGAAGAGGAGAGACGCAGAGCAGAAGACACAGAGAAGGCCCUGUGAUGAUGGAGGCGGAGCCUGGAGUGGGGCAGCCAUGUCACAAGGGACGCCUGGGGCCAGCAGAAGCUGGAGGAAGCAGGAAGGUCCUAGAGGCCCAGAGGGAACCCAGGCUGCCGACGCUGUGAUUUCAGACUGCCGGCCCAGGAUGGAGCCCAAGCCAUGGCCCACCCCACCCACCAUCCAGGCUCCUUGGACCCACCUUGGUCCCUCUGCCCGAUGGGGUGUCCCGAGUGCCCAGGUCAGCUCAGGAUGCUGGGGUGUCAGUGAUGAAGUAAGGCACCGGGGGGCAGGUGGGUGGGAGUCAGG
This is a long non-coding RNA of Equus caballus (horse), 3323 nucleotides long. Lineage: Eukaryota; Metazoa; Chordata; Mammalia; Perissodactyla; Equidae. The record is from Ensembl.